GGGGUCGUUACGGAUUCGACAGGCAUUAUGAGGUAUAUUCUGCGACUCAUCGGCAGAUGUAAAAAUGCCAGUUAAAUAUAACUGCAAAAAAUACAAAUUCUUACGCUGUAGCUGCCUAAAAACCAGCUCGCGUGAUCUCUACAAGAUUGCUUGAGUUUUGCUAGAGGUUUCAUUGUUAUCAAGCUACGUUUGGCUAUUGUCUAACUAGUCAAAAAGAGAUUUUUUAGACUCGCUUGAGUGAGGUUUGAGUUAUGUAUCGCGCUUAAGUUAAAUGAAAGACAUAACCUAUGGUUGUAGACGAAUAUAUUGGCAGGUGUUUGGACGUGGGUUCGACUCCCACCGGCUCCAUUC
This 351-nucleotide transfer-messenger RNA is filed under the name Streptococcus sp. It matches the Rfam family "transfer-messenger RNA". Rfam says of the family: Bacterial tmRNA, also known as 10Sa RNA or SsrA, is named for its dual tRNA and mRNA-like properties. Its role is to liberate the mRNA from a stalled ribosome. To accomplish this part of the tmRNA is used as a reading frame that ends in a translation stop signal. Lineage: Bacteria; Bacillati; Bacillota; Bacilli; Lactobacillales; Streptococcaceae. The record is from RNAcentral. RNAcentral also lists the same sequence under 4 other names.